AGGGGUGUAGCUCAAUUGGUAGAGCGCGUGACUGUUAAUCACGAGGUUGGUCGUUCGAGUCGACCCGCCCCUGCCA
RNAcentral lists this transfer RNA (76 nucleotides) under Anaerolineae bacterium. RNAcentral describes it as "tRNA-Asn". It matches the Rfam family "tRNA". From Rfam's summary of the family: Transfer RNA (tRNA) molecules are approximately 80 nucleotides in length. Their secondary structure includes four short double-helical elements and three loops (D, anti-codon, and T loops). The record is from RNAcentral. Lineage: Bacteria; Bacillati; Chloroflexota; Anaerolineae.